RNAcentral lists this ribosomal RNA (505 nucleotides) under uncultured bacterium. RNAcentral describes it as "partial 16S ribosomal RNA". It matches the Rfam family "Bacterial small subunit ribosomal RNA", at positions 28 to 507 of the family's 1533-position model. The record is from RNAcentral.
GACGAACGCUGGCGGCGUGCCUAAUACAUGCAAGUAGAACGCACAGUUUAUACCGUAGCUUGCUACACCAUAGACUGUGAGUUGCGAACGGGUGAGUAACGCGUAGGUAACCUGCCUGGUAGCGGGUGAUAACUAUUGGAAACGAUAGCUAAUACCGCAUAAUAUUGAUUAUUGCAUGAUAAUUAAUUGAAAGGUGCAAUUGCACCACUACCAGAUGGACCUGCGUUGUAUUAGCUAGUAGGUGAGGUAACGGCUCACCUAGGCGACGAUACAUAGCCGAACCGGGAAGGUGAACGGCCACACUGGGACUGGGACACGGCCCAGACUCCUACGGGAGGGAGCAGUAGGGAAUCUUCGGCAAUGGACGAAAGUCUGACCGAGGAACGCCGCGUGAGUGAAGAAGGUUUUCGGAUCGUAAAGAUCUGUUGUAAGAGAAGAACGGGUGUGAGAGUGGAAAGUUCACACUGUGACGGUAUCUUACCAGAAAGGGACGGCUAACUACGUG